This 496-nucleotide ribosomal RNA is filed under the name uncultured bacterium. RNAcentral's name for it is "partial 16S ribosomal RNA". It matches the Rfam family "Bacterial small subunit ribosomal RNA", at positions 29 to 507 of the family's 1533-position model. The record is from RNAcentral.
AUGAACGCUGGCGGCGUGCCUAAUACAUGCAAGUCGAGCGAACGGACGAGGAGCUUGCUCCUUUGACGUUAGCGGCGGACGGGUGAGUAACACGUGGAUAACCUACCUAUAAGACUGGGAUAACUUCGGGAAACCGGAGCUAAUACCGGAUAAUAUAUUGAACCGCAUGGUUCAAUAGUGAAAGACGGUUUUGCUGUCACUUAUAGAUGGAUCCGCGCCGCAUUAGCUAGUUGGUAAGGUAACGGCUUACCAAGGCAACGAUGCGUAGCCGACCUGAGAGGGUGAUCGGCCACACUGGAACUGAGACACGGUCCAGACUCCUACGGGAGGCAGCAGUAGGGAAUCUUCCGCAAUGGGCGAAAGCCUGACGGAGCAACGCCGCGUGAGUGAUGAAGGUCUUCGGAUCGUAAAACUCUGUUAUUAGGGAAGAACAAAUGUGUAAGUAACUAUGCACGUCUUGACGGUACCUAAUCAGAAAGCCACGGCUAACUACGUG